AAGAAGUGACUCAGGUCUCCACCAAACCCUCAGCUUUCAAGUGGAGCAAGCUGGCAGAGACCAACACUGAGCCAGCUGCCCCAGCCUGUCCCAUCCCAUCCCAUCUCCUCCACUGUCAGCCCCAGGAGAAGGCAGCAAGCUCCACAGGUGGCAGAAGCAAACUGCUGCUGCCUCCAUCCCCAGCCAGACUCCCUGCACAUGGCUCCAACCUAAGAAUGAGACAACAGGGGAAGAAAAUCAAAGAGGAGCAUCACCAGCAUUCCUCCUCCUUACAGUGAAAAGCAGGUGCCUUGGGAAGGAGGAGCUGAGUGAUUUUCCACAAGGCAGAAGAGAGGAAAACAACCUUGGGCUCCACCUGAAGUUUUACACAUUACAAUACGGCAGGUGAACUUUAAGCCUGACCUAAUUUGUGGAUCCUCAGCCAUCACCAUGAUUGCUGAAUCACCAAAUCAGGUACUCAAUUAUUUUAAAGCUCUUGCAUAACCAUACACAGAUUGCCAGGUGAUUUUGUUAGCACAAGACUCACCUGCUUUCCACUCCCUGGAUUCAACAUAAUUCAUUGCAAGCUCUGCUAAAAAGCGUUAUUUUACUCCCUUCUGUCCUGCAGCACUUCUAACUUCUUCACUUAAACCUUCUAACUUCCCCUGCUUCAUAAAGCAGGCAUGAAAUCCGGUAUAAAAUAAAUCUGUUACUGACUACAGUUGUCUACAAGAGGAAAAACCACCUUGCUCAGGGGCUGGGUGGUUUGACUGCAAAUAACUUCAGCAAAAACCUGUUCUUGUCCCAGCAAGAACACCCUUAAUGCUUCUGCCUCUCCAAAGCAAUUGUCUCCCACCCUCACUGCAACUUAAUGAGAAGGUUAGCAGCAAUAGGCCACAUAUUAGAAGAAAAUGGUGUGUUCUCAUGCAGGUAUGGUAGAAAGAUGGAUAGGAACUAAAGCAAAAGGUACUGCCCAGGAGAUCACAGCUCCUCCCUGGGUACUGUCCACUUUGGGUGAUGGAAAAGCUGCUUGAUGGCUCCUGCGACUGAAACUGUCCUAGAUCAGAAGCCUCUCACUUUAAAGAACGUGCAUGGCUUGAGCCAGAGAAAAAGUAAGUCCUGAACUCAAGAGGACUCAGUGCAAAGCCCUCCUGAUCCUGCAGCCUCACAUAUUUAUCCUCUCCAAGCUCUUCUAU
Molecule: long non-coding RNA, 1175 nt
Filed under: Melopsittacus undulatus (budgerigar)
Lineage: Eukaryota; Metazoa; Chordata; Aves; Psittaciformes; Psittaculidae
Description: lncRNA (ENSMUNG00000017001.1)
Source: RNAcentral